RNAcentral lists this ribosomal RNA (468 nucleotides) under uncultured bacterium. Its description in RNAcentral is "partial 16S ribosomal RNA". It matches the Rfam family "Bacterial small subunit ribosomal RNA", at positions 28 to 507 of the family's 1533-position model. The record is from RNAcentral.
GACGAACGCUGGCGGCGUGCUUAACACAUGCAAGUCGAACGGAAAGGCCCUGCUUUUGUGGGGUGCUCGAGUGGCGAAAGGGUGAGUAACACGUGAGUAACCUGCCCUUGACUUUGGGAUAACUUCAGGAAACUGGGGCUAAUACCGGAUAGGAGCUCCUGCUGCAUGGUGGGGGUUGGAAGGUUUCGGCGGUUGGGGAUGGACUCGCGGCUUAUCAGCUUGUUGGUGGGGUAGUGGCUUACCAAGGCUUUGACGGGUAGCCGGCCUGAGAGGGUGACCGGCCACAUUGGGACUGAGAUACGGCCCAGACUCCUACGGGAGGCAGCAGUGGGGAAUAUUGCACAAUGGGCGGAAGCCUGAUGCAGCAACGCCGCGUGCGGGAUGACGGCCUUCGGGUUGUAAACCGCUUUCGCCUGUGACGAAGCGUGAGUGACGGUAAUGGGUAAAGAAGCACCGGCUAACUACGUG